Long non-coding RNA from Spinacia oleracea (spinach), 358 nucleotides. RefSeq lists it as uncharacterized. NCBI's taxonomy places the organism in Eukaryota, Viridiplantae, Streptophyta, Magnoliopsida, Caryophyllales, Amaranthaceae. The record is from RefSeq and is a predicted model, not a curated record. The transcript has 3 exons.
AUUUAGUGUCACCGUUGAAGACACCGAUCAACUUCUCUCGGGAGCAUGGCUCAAUAUAUCAAUAAUACAAGUUUUUGUUACGGCUUUGAGUGAGUUGUGUUUUCACGAUGAUUGUCACCCCAAUAGUAUUGGAUUCAUGUGCCCGGAGAUGAUCUCGGCCACCAUGUUAAAGUCCGAUGCAGAUAGAAUUCUAUUGUACAUGACGAGGUCCAUGAGUGCACUUAGUUCUAAGACAUUCAUCUUAUGUCCAUACUACGAAAAGAGUCACUGGAUGCUUUUAGUUCUUUGCUUGUCUAAACGUGAGGUCUACAUAUUUGAUUCUCAACAGAAGAAGAGAAAUUUGAUGAUUAAGGAGCCA